UGUGCUCAAGCGCGAGGUGACGCCGCGACAGGGCCGGAAGGAGUGCUGCGGCUGCCGAGGAGUAAGCGGCGCGGUAGCGAAGGCCGCCGAACCCGCCUGGCUAGUCGGCGAAUAGAGUGGCGACCCUUUUGAAACAGAUGGUCACCAUGUUUAGAUAUUAGCAGUCCCGUAUGUGCAUGUCUGCAUUUGAAAAUGGAAGAGGGAAACAACAAUGAAGAGGUAAUUCACUUGAACAACUUUCACUGCCAUCGGGGACAAGGUGAGUUGUUUGCUCUCACUUCAUCCCUUUCCCUGUGGCUUUUUCUUUCAGUGUCACAGCUAUAUCUUUUGAAAUGAACCUAUUUUGGACCAUUUAGAAUCCAGGGACAUUUCAUUUUUGACAUAAAAAGACUAGUUAGACUAGAAUUAUGUCAGAUAAUGAUAUUGCUGGCAUGAAUGAAGUGUAAGACUCAUUCAUUACAACUAAAUUAAUAAGCUAUUAAUUUGCUGGCAAGACGCUGUUAAUAUGCAGUCAUUGAAUCUUAAGAGACAGUGUCAGCAUCAGUUUUUGAAGGCGUGGUGAUUAUAAAGGAGUGCUCCACUAGGCCUUUAUGAUCUGAAAUACUACAGGUGAUGCUGAACCAGUCUUGUCCUCCCAUGAUGCUUAAUUUCUUUUUUGCCAGAAGAUUCUGGCUUAGCCUUGAGGGGAAUUUUGGAACAUGUAUUUUUUUGUUCUACAGUUUUGUUUUUUCUUUCUUUUUUUGAGACGGAAUUUCGCUCAUUGCUCAGGCUGGAGUGCAAUGGUGUAAUCUCGGCUCACCGCACCCUGCACGUCCCGGGUUCAAGCGAUUCUCCUGCCUCAGCCUCCCGAGUAGCUGGGUUAUAGGCAUGUGCCACUGUGCCCUGCUAAUUUUGUAUUUUUAGUAGAGAUGGCGUUUCUCCAUGUUGUUCAGGCUGGUCUUGAUCUCCCGACCUGAGGUGAUCCGCCUGCCUCGGCCUCCCAAAGUGCUGGCGUGAGCCACCUGCCUGGCCACAUUUCUUAAUUUUCAUUAUAAAAGGGAUAAAUAUGGGCCAGACACAUGGCUCACACCUUUAAUCCUGGCAUUUUGGGAGGCUGAGGCAAGAGGAUUUGCCUGAAUCCAGGAAUUCAAGGCUGCAGUGAGCUGUGUUAUGCUACUGCACUCAAGCCUGGGAGACAGAGUGAGACCUUGUCUCUAUUUAAAAAAAAUUUGUUAUAAGUGAUAAAUAUGCUGUUUUAAAAAAUAAGUUCUCCUGAAGAAUAUAAAAUGAAAAAUAUACUCUUUCCCCUCCUUCUGAUCUGCAGAGGUGAAAUAGUUGUAAAAUUUUUUUUUUUUUUUUUUGAAGACGGAGUCUCGUUCUGUUGCCCAGGCUGGAGUGCAGUGGUGUGAUCUUGGCUUACAGCAAUCUCUGCCUCCCAGGUUCAAGCAAUUCUCCUGCCUCAGUCUCCUGAGUAACUGGCAUUACAGGCGUACUCCACCACGCCUGGCUAAUUUUUGUAUUUUUAGUAGAGACAGGGUUUCACCAUGUUGGUCAGGCUGGUCUUGAAUCCCUGACCUCGUGAUCUGCUCGCCUUGGCCUCCCAGAGUGCUGGGAUUACAGCCAUGAGCCACCAUGCCCAGCCUGGUGGUAAAUUUAAACAAAAUAGACAGUUCACUGAACACCUGUCCUCAAAGUUCCUAUCUUAUACUGUAGUUCUCAGUCAGGGGUGCAGGUGGGUUUCUUCCCUGCCAAGGCUGAGAAGGAAGGGCCCCUUUCCAGGUGCUUAGCCCAAUGUGGAUACUUUUUUCUAAUUUGUACAAUGACACUGUUGGAGCCAGUAGUGGCCUUGUCUGAUCCCACUUCUGUACAGAGGCAACUACUGUCAUCAGAUUUUUUUUUUUAUAUUUAUUUAUUUAUUUUUGAGACGGAGUCUCACUCUUGUCACCUAGGCUAGAGUGCAAUGGUGUGAUCUCAGCUCACUGCAGUCUCUGCCUCCCAGGUUCAAGUGAUUCUCCUGCCUCAGUCUCCCAGGUAGCUGGGAUUACAGGCAUGCACCAUCAUGUCUGGCUAAUUUUUGUAUUUUUAGUAGAGACAGAGUUUCCCAUGUUGGCCAGGCUGGUCUUGAACUCCUGACCUCAAGUGAUACACCUACCUCGGCCUCCCAAAGUGCUGGGAUUACAGAUGUGAGCCACUGCACCUGGCCUUCCCUUAAUCUUUAUCAAUUUUACUUAACAUGCUUCUCAGUAAGCUACCACCAUGCCCAGCUAAUUUUUGUAUUUUUAGUAGAGAUGGGAUUUCACCAUGUUGGCCAGGCUGGUCUCGAACUCCUGACCUCAAGUUAUCCCCCUGCCUCAGCCUCCCAAAGUGCUGGGAGAUGUGAGCCACUGUGCCCAGCAAACCUUUUAUUUUAUUUAUUUAUUUAUUUAUUUUUUUUUUUGAGAGAGUUUUGCCCUUGUCGCCCGAGCUGGAGUGCAAUGGCAUGAUCUCAGCUCACUGCAACCUUCGCCUCCCAGGUUCAGGUGAUUCUCCUGCCUCAGCCUCCCGAAUAGCUGGGAUUACAGGCAUGUGUUACCUCACCUGGCUUCGAUUACCCAAACUCUUAAAGCAUUUUUUUAUUUUUCAACGAGAGACUCUACCUGGGUAUUUAAUCUUCGGUACAGUGAGGAAAGAAAGCCAUUUGGUUAUUUACAUGCCAGUUACUCACUCUUCUCAAGCCUUUCCACAUAUUCUUUAUUGUGUAUAGUUUUUAAACUUGGUUAUUGUAGAAUAUAGUAUACAUAAAGAAAAAUGAACAAAAUAAAGAUGCACAGCUCAAUAAUUUAUCACAAACCAAACAUUUAUGGAACCACAACCCAGAAAUCUUCAAGAAAUAGAACGCUGCCAUCCUCUUUAAACACUACAUAAAGAUUUUGUAUAGUCUGUAGUUUUUGAGUCUGAUUUCUUUUCACUCAGCAUUAUGUUAGGUUUAUUCAUGUGGGGUAGAACCACAGUUUAUAUAUUUUUCAUUGUUAAGUGGUAUUCCAUUUAUACCACUUAGCAAUGAAAUUUUCCAUGUACUUUUGGUAGGCAUUUGAGUUCUGACUGUCACAAAUAAUGUAGCUGUGAACAUUCUCCUGCUUGUCUCCUGAACUCUACUUGCGCCACACCCUGGCAUCCACCUUCCUGUUGGCUGUGUUUGUGUCUUCCAGCAGAAUUGUUUGUUGGAGACUUUUUUCCCCUCCUAAGCUUUUAACAUACUUUGUUUUUGGGUUUCUAAGUGGCAUGAUAAUAACUACAUUUUUUUUUAAUUACUAAGCUUUAUUUUUUAGAGCAGUUUUAGGUUUACAGGAAAAUUGAGCAGCAAUGACUACAUUUUUACAAUGAAAACUUUCUUGUAGGCUUCUACUCAUCUAAAAAGAAAUUCAUAUGUGUGAAUUGCUUUAACAACUCUUCGACAAUACUGAGUUAUGAUGUUAUUUUUCUAGUUAACUAGGGUAGGCAUGAAGUAGCAUAAGUGACAUUUCUUUGCUAAUUGGCUGUGUUUUUCAUAUAUUUGUUUAGUAAUUGUAUUUCCCUUGUAUGUAAAUUGUUUACUUCUGUCUUCUCUUUGAAUUCCUGUUUUUUUUUUUUUUUUGGUUAAUGUUUUCCUGGUUAUGAAAUGUAAUACAGGUUUGUUCAUUACAGAAAAUGUAAAUGAUAGAGAAAAGUAUAAACUUAGCUCAUUUAUAGAACAAUGGUUUGAAUACCAGAUACCAUGUUUUAGUAUUUUUUAACAAUUUAACCUCAUAGAAAUUGAGUAUACUUCAAUGUUUUUGUCUCCUGCUGCAAAUGAAUGUCAUGUUUAAAUAUAUCUUCAAGAUUGUCUAUAAAAAUCACUAAAUUGUAAUCAAAUUGACACCUUAACAGUUCUGUUCUGCUUCCUGAGUCUCACACGUGUACUUAUUUUUAGGGACUUGCUGACCCUCUGUGCUUUUUGUGUCACUCAGAAACAAACAUUGAUCCUUAAACACAUUAAAAUUCUCGUGAAAUCCAAGAA
This is a long non-coding RNA of Pongo pygmaeus (Bornean orangutan), 3994 nucleotides long. RefSeq lists it as uncharacterized. Lineage: Eukaryota; Metazoa; Chordata; Mammalia; Primates; Hominidae. The transcript has 2 exons. The record is from RefSeq and is a predicted model, not a curated record.